Molecule: transfer RNA, 77 nt
Filed under: Candidatus Thorarchaeota archaeon
Lineage: Archaea; Promethearchaeati; Candidatus Thorarchaeota
Description: tRNA-Asn
Rfam family: tRNA
About the family: Transfer RNA (tRNA) molecules are approximately 80 nucleotides in length. Their secondary structure includes four short double-helical elements and three loops (D, anti-codon, and T loops).
Source: RNAcentral
GCCGCCGUGGCUCAGUCCGGUAGAGCGACAGCCUGUUAAGUUGUUGGUCCCAGGUUCAAUUCCUGGCGGCGGCGCCA